Long non-coding RNA from Cavia porcellus (domestic guinea pig), 1265 nucleotides. RefSeq lists it as uncharacterized. The record is from RefSeq and is a predicted model, not a curated record. The transcript has 2 exons. NCBI's taxonomy places the organism in Eukaryota, Metazoa, Chordata, Mammalia, Rodentia, Caviidae.
CUCCCUUUUCAUUUACGUAGUUACAUGGAGCUGGUAACUAUAGGUUUGCAAAGUGCAGCUCCAGAGGAGUGACUGUGGACAGAGGUGGUCUUGCACCCUGGAAGACAUGUGGUCAUCUAAAGACACUGCAGCUCUCGUAACUGUGGGGUAUCACUAGCAUCUAAUAGGUGGAGGCGGGCACAGGUUACUUUGUGAGCUAGUUAAUUCCUUGUCGUGGAGGGCUGUCCUGUACCUUGUAGGAUGUUCCACAGUAUCCCUGGCCUCUACUCACUAGAUGCCAAUAGCAAACCCUUGGUUGCAACACCAAAAAAUUUCUUCAGCAAUUGCCUAAUAUCCCGAGACAAAACCAACUUUGGUUGGUAAUCACUGCCCCAAAAAAUAUAUGACUGAAGGAAAACCUGUAUAAACAGUGGAACUUUGCUUUUAGUCACUGGCUCCUCCCACCCCAGUUUUUUUGAGACAAGGUCUCACUAUAUUCUAUGCUGGCUUUGAUCUCACCAUGUAGCCCACACUGGCCCUAGAACUUGUGGCUGUCCUCUUGCUUCAGCCUCCUGAGUGGUGGGUUCACAGGAGCCACUCCUGGCAAGCUACUUGCUUUUAGUGGACUUUACAUAUCAUUAAUUGUGAACUGGCAUGAUGACACACACGUGUAAUCCAGCACUCAGGAGGCUGAAGCAGGAGGAUCACCAGUUUAAGGUGGGACCCUGUUGGGGGAUGAACCUGUAAUAAAAUACACAAAGUUAGGUAAAUUUACUCCCCCCAAAAAUGACCUCUAUACAAAUGUUCAGACUGAAACUUGUCAUUAAUAGCAGAAUGAUCAAUAAUCAAUAGCAAAAUGGUAAAAUUACACUACUGAUAUAAUCUUUCAAUUCAUUUUGUGCUAACAAUAAAAUCUUCAAAUAGAGACUUUAUAUUUUAAAAGUUUACUUAUUUUUUGGUUUUUUGGACACAGGAUCUUACUGUGAUUCAGGGUGGUCUCAGACUCACAGCAAUCCUCAUGCCUUCAGCCUCCUGAGUGCUGGGAUUAUAGACUUGUGCCACCACCCACAGGAAGCUUCUAACAACCAACCAGAUCACUGAGAAGGAGCUUUUGUUAAUAGUAAAGGAUACAUGGAUGGUGCAACUACUCUCUUGUGUAUUCCAGCGAAGAACAAGCCUAUUAGGGUGAUACAGCUAAUGGUGAAAAAUGGAUGGUUCCAUAAUGAUGUGAAGAAGGAUACCUGUAAAAGAAGAGUUUAAAAUAUAAAAAUGUUAAAAUCUUAGAA